This 433-nucleotide ribosomal RNA is filed under the name uncultured bacterium. Its description in RNAcentral is "partial 16S ribosomal RNA". It matches the Rfam family "Bacterial small subunit ribosomal RNA", at positions 29 to 507 of the family's 1533-position model. The record is from RNAcentral.
AACGAACGCUGGCGGCAGGCCUAACACAUGCAAGUCGAGCGCGCCCUUCGGGGUGAGCGGCGGACGGGUGAGUAACGCGUGGGAACGUGCCCUUUUCUACGGAAUAGCCUCGGGAAACUGAGAGUAAUGCCGUAUACGCCCUUUGGGGGAAAGAUUUAUCGGAAAAGGAUCGGCCCGCGUUGGAUUAGGUAGUUGGUGGGGUAAUGGCCUACCAAGCCGACGAUCCAUAGCUGGUUUGAGAGGAUGAUCAGCCACACUGGGACUGAGACACGGCCCAGACUCCUACGGGAGGCAGCAGUGGGGAAUCUUAGACAAUGGGGGCAACCCUGAUCUAGCCAUGCCGCGUGAGUGAUGAAGGCCUUAGGGUUGUAAAGCUCUUUCAGCUGGGAAGAUAAUGACGGUACCAGCAGAAGAAGCCCCGGCUAACUCCGUG